GGGUUGUGAGGUUAAGCGACUAAGCGUACACGGUGGAUGCCCUGGCAGUCAGAGGCGAUGAAGGACGUGCUAAUCUGCGAUAAGCGCCGGUAAGGUGAUAUGAACCGUUAUAACCGGCGAUUUCCGAAUGGGGAAACCCAGUGUGACUCGUCACACUAUCAUUAACUGAAUCCAUAGGUUAAUGA
Molecule: ribosomal RNA, 185 nt
Filed under: Salmonella enterica
Lineage: Bacteria; Pseudomonadati; Pseudomonadota; Gammaproteobacteria; Enterobacterales; Enterobacteriaceae
Also listed under: 2 other names
Description: partial 23S ribosomal RNA
Rfam family: Bacterial large subunit ribosomal RNA
Source: RNAcentral